CUAGCGGCAGGCUUAACACAUGCAAGUCGAGGGGCAGCGUGGAGCAGCAAUGCUCUGACGGCGACCGGCGGAAGGGUGCGUAACACGUGAGCGACUUGCCCGUCACAGGGGGAUAACCGGCGGAAACGGCGACUAAUACCCCAUAUGAUGUGAUGCUGCAUGGCAUUGCAUUGAAAGAUUCAUCGGUGGCGGAUAGGCUCGCGGGACAUUAGCUAGACGGCGGGGCAACGGCCCACCGUGGCGACGAUGUCUAGGGGUUCUGAGAGGAAGACCCCCCACACUGGGACUGAGACACGGCCCAGACUCCUACGGGAGGCAGCAGUGAGGAAUAUUGGUCAAUGGGCGGAAGCCUGAACCAGCCAUGCCGCGUGAAGGACUAAGGCCCUACGGGUCGUAAACUUCUUUAGACGCAGAGCAAUAAGGUCCACGAGUGGACCGAUGAGAGUAUGCGUAGAAUAAGCAUCGGCUAACUCCGUGCCAGCAGCCGCGGUAAUACGGGGGAUGCAAGCGUUAUCCGGAUUCAUUGGGUUUAAAGGGUGCGUAGGCGGCCGAGUAAGUCAGCGGUGAAAGACCGGGGCUCAACCCUGGAAGUGCCGUUGAUACUGUUUGGCUGGAAUGAUCCCGCCGCGGGAGGAAUGAGUGGUGUAGCGGUGAAAUGCAUAGAUAUCACUCAGAACACCGAUUGCGAAGGCAUCUCGCGAGGGGUCAAUUGACGCUGAGGCACGAAAGCGUGGGGAUCGAACAGGAUUAGAUACCCUGGUAGUCCACGCAGUAAACGAUGAUGGCUAACUGUCGGGCCUGCGGGUUCGGCGGCCAAGCGAAAGCGAUAAGCCAUCCACCUGGGGAGUACGACCGCAAGGUUGAAACUCAAAGGAAUUGACGGGGGCCCGCACAAGCGGAGGAACAUGUGGUUUAAUUCGAUGAUACGCGAGGAACCUUACCCAGGCUCGAACGGCAGCUGAAUUGAGUAGAGAUAUUCAAGUCUUCGGACAGUUGUCGAGGUGCUGCAUGGUUGUCGUCAGCUCGUGCCGUGAGGUGUCGGCUUAAGUGCCAUAACGAGCGCAACCCUUGCCUUCAGUUGCCAUCAGGUAGAGCUGGGCACUCUGGAGGGACUGCCACCGCAAGG
RNAcentral lists this ribosomal RNA (1126 nucleotides) under human gut metagenome. Its description in RNAcentral is "bacterial SSU rRNA". It matches the Rfam family "Bacterial small subunit ribosomal RNA", at positions 36 to 1163 of the family's 1533-position model. The record is from RNAcentral.